Molecule: RNA transcript, 6049 nt
Organism: Micropterus salmoides (largemouth bass)
Lineage: Eukaryota; Metazoa; Chordata; Actinopteri; Centrarchiformes; Centrarchidae
Gene name: RNA-binding protein 39-like
Exons: 4
Source: RefSeq, a predicted model, not a curated record
AAGUCCACGCAGCAGUAUUUCUCCAUGAGCGGAACAUUGCUUGUCUUUGUGUAUGAAAGGGAGCGGAGAGAGAGAGCAGGCUUGACCCAUGCCUUUGGCCUGUCUUAUAUAAACAGAGAUAAUAAUCCAGGCUGCAAAAGAAACUACGGUCAUUUGUUCCAAAGAGCUGUCAAGAUGAAGACGCAGUCGACAAGCCUUCGAGUUAAGUUACCUGUGUUUGUGUUUGUAACAGAGGUGAUAAUUGUUUUCUUGUAUGCUGCUUUUGUCACCUACGAUGAGCAUGCAGAUGCCAAAUUUCAGACUAACACAACUAACCCCAUGGACAAUGCAGUGUACCGAGAUUACCCUUUUUUUACUGACAUACAGGUCAUUAUAUUCCUUGGCUUUGGGUGCCUGCUUGCAUUUUUUCGACUGUAUGGUUUUGGGGGGAUGGUUUUUAACUUCCUCACGGCUACUUUUGCCAUCCAGUGGGCCAUUUUGGUGCAGGGGUACUUCCAGUUCAGCCAUGACGGUAAGAUCCACCUCGGAGUGAUCAACCUAAUAAAUGCAGAGUUCGCCUGUGCUGUGGUGCUGAUAUCUUUCGGGGCAGUGCUGGGGAAGACAAGUCCUUUGCAGCUGCUGGUCAUGGCUCUGCUGGAAGUGCCAGUGUUCGCAGUCACUGAGUGGGCCGUGCUGAAGUAUCUGAAGAUAAACGAUGCAGGAGGCUCUAUUCUCAUUCACCUCUUUGCCUGUUAUUUUGGUUUGGGUGUCACAUUUGUAUUGUACAGGCCUGGCCUAAAAGAAGGCCACGUAAAGGAGAACACUAGCUACCAGUCCGACAUCCUGUCUGUCAUGGGGACCUUGUUCCUCUGGGUGUUUUGGCCCUCCUUCAACUCAGCAUUAACCCUGAAAGGAGACGACCAGCACAGAGCCAUCCUCCACACCUUCAUCGGCCUCAGCGCCUCCACGCUCACAGCCUUUGCUCUCUCCACCAUGCUGAACAAAAACGGCAAGCUUACCAUGGCUGAUGUUCAGAACGUGACCCUUGCUGGAGGCGUGACAGUCGGGGCAUCUGUGGACAUGAUGAUAUCUCCUGCAGCUGCAUAUGCCCUCGGUAUGAUUGGCUGCACUGCAUGCAUGCUAGGCUACAAGUACUUGAGCCCCUUCCUGGCGCGGCGCUUCAGGAUCCAGGAUCAGUGUGGAAUACAUAAUUUGCAUGGUCUAACAGGACUUAUAUCCUGUACUGCAGGGAUAUGUGCUAUACUGAUGGCAACCGAGGAGGUUUACGGCCCCAGUUUGUAUGAGAUCUUUACCCACAGAGCACCAGUGGAAGGAGACCCUAAGCUGCAAGAGCUGCAGAUGUUGAUCCCCAGUUUACAGCCAGGGUUGGGGAGGACUGCCCGGGAACAGGCUCUCUUCCAGGUCGCAGCUGUGUUCGUUACCAUAGCAGUGUCAGCGCUGGGAGGCAUCCUCACAGGCUUCGUCUUGAAGCUGCCGUACCUCGCAUCACCAUCCGACGAUUUCUGUUUUGACGAUGAGCUGUUUUUUGAUGUUCCUCGGGACUAUGAUUCACCACUUAAAUUCAGUAACAUAAGUUCAACAGAGGAUUCUUCUGCCUGACCUGCAACAGCCAAGUGUGGUCAGUGCAGGUGACUGAAGGAGAAAAUGUAAAUAAGCCUGUAUUUGUCUUUAUACGUCAUGGAAUUUACCAUCACUCAACAGUGGGAUACUAUUAAUUAAAUGUUUAUAUCCAUUACAUUGUAUACAAGUUGAAUUAGUGAUCAUAAAUAAUAAUGAAAAACAGUGCCAGUGCAGAGACAUUGUCCAACGCUGUCUACUACAAAUAGUAAUGGUGUUAUUUAUUGUCCAACAUGCAAACGGAGGAAAUAGACUGUUAUAGCUCUCUUGGCCACUUUGUCAAAAGUUUGUGAUGUGAAAUAAACUCUUUUUAAACUGUUUGCCAAUUUUGUGGAUGGAUGUGCACCAUCUUUUUUUCAAGGGGGUCUCUUCAGACACAAAAACAUGGACUUAAACAAACAAUUUAAAAACAACUAAACGUAUAAAAUUAAAUAAAUUUAAAGCAGCAAAAAUAUAUGUGCAAUAACAUAAACACGCAUAAGAAAACCAGGCUGUUACAAGCAUCUACACGAAACUAAUGACAAGUAAAAUGAAUGAAAAACUGCCAAACCAAAUACACCUAAAACACUUUGACAAAUACUGUUAAAGGGUAAAGACGGUAUAUGAUGUUAAUAUAAUCCAUAACAAAAAGUUAAAGAUGGGAUACAAUUACUUUUAAAACUUGAAUGCGCAGCUUGGAUGUUAAUGUAAUGUAGGGAAGUUGACAUUUCCUUUUAAUUAUCAGUAGAUGGCGACACAGAGCCGUGAAAUAAUUUGACCUGCCUGUGUUCUCGCGUGGAAAAGCGCGAUUCCAAAGACAUCAGGGGCGUUUGUGCCAUCUGUUAUGUGUUACAGGUAGACAGGAGGAAGACGGGUGUAAUUCGACGAAACGACUUGUGCAAAAUGUGUUGAGAAUAUGUUAGUCAGCGGCCCUGCAGACCAAAAGCUAACGUCAAAAUUAUACCAAUGGCCAAAAAUCGAUGGAUUUACUUAGCAACGUGCUUCGACCUUCCUGUCUUACCUUCCUGUCUUCACCGGAAGUGGGGAGGUGCCUGCUGCUCGUUUUCGCCUUGAGCCCGCGCCUGCAGUUUAGCAAAUACCUGACCGUUUUAUGACCAUUGGUAGAGCUGGGAUUGCUUCUGCUAUUUACGCUAAUUAGACCAGUUAUCCUGCACAGCGCUGAGUUGAUCUGUUAUAAUAGCGACUGGUCAACGUUUUGGUGUUUUGUUAUUAUCUUUUUAAUAAUAUGAUAUCAGAACAGUCAAGUUGACUGGCUCAUGUGCACAGUGGAGACUCAUAUGUUAUUGUUUUUAACACUAUUUCUCACAGUCCAGUUUAUCAAUGACAUUAUUAUUGUCUAACAAGCUAAUUAUUCUAAAUUAUAUUAUCAAUAAAUAUAUAUUAUACAGUUGAGUGAAAAGUUGUGUUUGAAUUCAUACUUAUAAAUCACCAAAAACUGCAGGUUUAGUGAUAGUUUGUGGUAACUGCAAAUAACCUGCAUCAUCUGUGAUCUUGCAAUUUUUCACUAUAGAAACAACAAGUUAAUGUGCAAGCUUUUAAAUAUAUGUAAAAUAAGAUAUUAAUGAUCUAAAACAGAAUAUGGAGAAGAAUUUAAAAGAGGCAGUGGCAAACAAAAGUGACAAUUUAAAAGACCUCAAGUUUUAAAGGAGGUUGCAUUAAGAUGUAAUGCAUAGACACUGACAGCGUUGUGUUUUGACCCUACACUGACUUAGACUAAACCCUAGAUCUUUAGGAUAUUUAAUAUUUAACUAUUUUUAGAGGCUAUAAAAGGCUGGUCCCUGUGAGUGUAUAUAGUAUCCAUUUUGGUUACAAUAUUAUUACUAAUGCAUAAAUGUUAAUCAGCAUGUUUCUCUUGUAAGUGGAUGAGGUGGAGCUCAUUUUGUACUGGGCUGCAACUAAUUAUUAUUGCAACUUAUUUUCAUUGUGGAUUAAUCUGCUGAUUAUUUUCUUGAUCAAUCAAUUUAUUCUAUAUUACAGUCACAAUAAAACAAAGCUCAAACCUUCAAAUGUUUUGUCUGAGCAACAGUCCAAACCUCAAUAUUAUUUGAUUCAUGGUGAUUUAACAAGAAAAAGGGCAAAUCUUCAGACUCGAGAAGUUGAAAUUUUGAAAUGUGUCAGGCAUUUUUACAUGAGAAAUAACUUAAACGAAUAAUCAUUUAUCUAAACAGUUUAAUGUUAUAUGUUAUAUUAUACAAGGUAUAAUGUUAUAUAUGAUAAAUGGUUUAACCUGUCGGGUUGGCAAGUUUUAAAAGUUCUUCAUAUGUUUUGUAUUUAAAAUCUUGAUUUGUAAAGUAACUUGUAACUGAAGAUGUCAAAUAAUUGUAUUGUAGGGUAAAAAAUAUGAAAUGUAGUGGAGCAGAAGUAGAACGUGUCAUGAAAUGCUAAUACUAAAUUAAAGUACAGAUACCGCAAAUGUGUAGUUAAGGACAGUACUUGAGUAAAUAGUUCCACCACCGACAGUUUGCCUGUAGGGGUAGAGACUUGUUUGAAGAACUGAGCGGUGAAGUACUUGUUAGCUCCGGUAGGUGGCAGUAAGGCAACACCAAACAUUGCCGCAGUCAUAAACCUUCAAAGCAGCAGAAGAAGACGACGACGACGAAGAAGGCAGGCGAGCAUUUUGAGGCCAGGCCACGACCUGCUACGAUAGUUGCUAACAUUGAAAAAGAAAGGUUACAUAACAUCGAAAAUUGUGAUUGCAUCUUAACAUUGCGUGAUCUGCCGGGAAGGAGACGUCGAGAAGAGUCUCUUCAGCAGCACAUUUUCCGUGAUAUUUUGACUUUGGCACAUCAUUUCGCCAAUUUGAAACGGAUCAUCAUGGCUGAUGAUUUUGACGUUGAGGCCAUGCUGGAGGCUCCAUACAGAAAGACUUCCCUAAUGAUAUCUCACCUCUACUCCCAUGAAUUCAUCUUUGAUUCCACUGUGAACUGUGAAAAAAAGGAAGGUAGUUAUUGUGCAUAUACUGAUGUACUGUGGUUCACUUUAGGACUAAAAGAGAUUCAACCUAGAACAUCCAAUCCGUAUUCGGUUGCAACAAGGUGAAUGCCAAUGGUUGAUAAGCCCAUCCUUAACUGUCCAGCAAAGGAGGCAGUAUUCAGAUUUACAGUCUGCAUGCCAUCACUGUCUCUGAAUAUGCAGCCCCAUAUAAUCAGAUUUAAACGCCAGUUCUGGAAUAGAGAAACAAGUGUCUCUCACCGUGUGGCUUUGACAAGAUGCAUCGCUCGGUCACCUUUUAACUAAUUUAAUUUGAACCAAAUUGCUCUUCAAGUAAGAAUCGUCAUGUAUUAAACUGUGAAUGGAAAAAUGAUCUCCCAAAGUUAAUUAGGGAUACUCAAUUGUGUUUGUAUCGGACUAUAACUGUUCUAAAUCCAAAAGCUGUACUUUGACAACAGUAUGCUUGAAAAUGUAGAUAUUGCCGUUGUGGAUUUCUGACCAAACACGUGAGCCAUGUCAUGAUUUUAUGUCAAAUUAAAGGUAAAUAAUUAUUUUCUCUUGUUUGUAAAUAUGAAUACUGCCUCUUUGCCUUAGUCAACUAUAAUGUGAAUCAGCAUCUUGAUUGUGCAUGCGCCACAGAUAUUGAUAUAUUACUAGAAUGACUGUAAAAUGGAUACAUCUAUCUAGCAUCAUUGUAUUAUAAAGUGAGUUUUCAGUAGUUAAUAAUUCCUCCUUAAAUCAAAAGGUUGGAAGUAUUUUUAUAUCAUGCAAACUAAAGAUAAUGGCAGUAUAACACGUGGCUGAAUUGAUGGAUUUAUUUCAGUUUUUUUAUUUUUUUUAUUUAUUCAUUUCUUUUCUUGGGCGUCAAUAUUACUAAGAAGUGUGAAUCCCUGUUUGCUUCAGGGCAAGAUGUGUGACAGAGGUGGCAUCGAGCUCUUACAGUCCAAGAACGAAAAUGGGUGAAGAUCACUGGACUGACACCAACCACACAGGAUCUCUUUUAGUGGCCGUGGGCCAUGCGUGGUCACAUGAUUAGGCACAAAUAGUGGCAGUGGCAUUGGUACGACCUAGUGGAAGGGGAAUGGUGGAGAUGAUCUGGCUACUGUCAAAGCUUCCUGAACUCUGCUAAUAUGUUGGACACUCCCUUAACUUUGCUUUGUUGCAUUACUGUACUGAGCAGCCUUGUUUUAAAAAAAUAAAAAUAAAAAAAAUAACUGGAGUGGGAUGGGAUCUAUUGGGGUGGUGGAAGGACACUGUCCAGAUAUGACAGUAGGAAAUUUUAAGUACUAUUAUUAAUUGAAUAUAUUCUGCAUUUUCUCUUGUCCCACCCCCAUCCCCUUUACCUUGACGACUUGAAAUGUUUCAUCUACGUCCUCAUGAUGUUCUUCUAUCAACCUUGCUUAGGAUGAGAUCAAGUCCUCUCAUGCAAAUGGACACGACGACCAGAACAAGAAGAAAAGAAGGAGCCGAAGCAGGAGCCGAAGUCCCGGCUCUAGGAAGA